AAUGAACGCUGGCGGCAUGCUUUACACAUGCAAGUCGAACGGUAACGGGCCUUCGGGUUCCGUCGCGCGGCGGACGGGGGAGUAAUACAUCCGAGCGUGCCCGAUCGUGGGCGAUAACGUGACGAAAGCUUUCCGAAUACCGCAUACGAUCUACGGAUGAAAGCAGUGGACCGUAAUGCCACGGUUGGUCGGAGUGGGCGAGGGCGGAUUAGGUAGUUGGUGGGUUAGACGUUUACCAUGCCGACGACCUGUACCUGGACUGAGAGGAAGAGGAGCCACACUGGGACUGAGACACGGACCAGACUCCUCAGGGAGGCCGCAGUGGGCAAUUGUAGACAAUGGGCGCAAGUCUGGUGCAGCCAUGCCGCGUGCAGGAUACCAGCCUUCGGGUUGUAAUGACCUCUUGUUCGGAGCGAAAGGCUUUCGUUUAAUACGAGAGGGGCUUGACGGUACCGUAUGAAUAAGCACCGGCUAACUACGUG
RNAcentral lists this ribosomal RNA (482 nucleotides) under uncultured bacterium. RNAcentral describes it as "partial 16S ribosomal RNA". It matches the Rfam family "Bacterial small subunit ribosomal RNA", at positions 29 to 507 of the family's 1533-position model. The record is from RNAcentral.